Molecule: ribosomal RNA, 1530 nt
Filed under: Escherichia coli
Lineage: Bacteria; Pseudomonadati; Pseudomonadota; Gammaproteobacteria; Enterobacterales; Enterobacteriaceae
Description: bacterial SSU rRNA
Rfam family: Bacterial small subunit ribosomal RNA
Source: RNAcentral
AGAGUUUGAUCAUGGCUCAGAUUGAACGCUGGCGGCAGGCCUAACACAUGCAAGUCGAACGGUAACAGGAAGAAGCUUGCUUCUUUGCUGACGAGUGGCGGACGGGUGAGUAAUGUCUGGGAAACUGCCUGAUGGAGGGGGAUAACUACUGGAAACGGUAGCUAAUACCGCAUAACGUCGCAAGACCAAAGAGGGGGACCUUCGGGCCUCUUGCCAUCGGAUGUGCCCAGAUGGGAUUAGCUUGUUGGUGGGGUAACGGCUCACCAAGGCGACGAUCCCUAGCUGGUCUGAGAGGAUGACCAGCCACACUGGAACUGAGACACGGUCCAGACUCCUACGGGAGGCAGCAGUGGGGAAUAUUGCACAAUGGGCGCAAGCCUGAUGCAGCCAUGCCGCGUGUAUGAAGAAGGCCUUCGGGUUGUAAAGUACUUUCAGCGGGGAGGAAGGGAGUAAAGUUAAUACCUUUGCUCAUUGACGUUACCCGCAGAAGAAGCACCGGCUAACUCCGUGCCAGCAGCCGCGGUAAUACGGAGGGUGCAAGCGUUAAUCGGAAUUACUGGGCGUAAAGCGCACGCAGGCGGUUUGUUAAGUCAGAUGUGAAAUCCCCGGGCUCAACCUGGGAACUGCAUCUGAUACUGGCAAGCUUGAGUCUCGUAGAGGGGGGUAGAAUUCCAGGUGUAGCGGUGAAAUGCGUAGAGAUCUGGAGGAAUACCGGUGGCGAAGGCGGCCCCCUGGACGAAGACUGACGCUCAGGUGCGAAAGCGUGGGGAGCAAACAGGAUUAGAUACCCUGGUAGUCCACGCCGUAAACGAUGUCGACUUGGAGGUUGUGCCCUUGAGGCGUGGCUUCCGGAGCUAACGCGUUAAGUCGACCGCCUGGGGAGUACGGCCGCAAGGUUAAAACUCAAAUGAAUUGACGGGGGCCCGCACAAGCGGUGGAGCAUGUGGUUUAAUUCGAUGCAACGCGAAGAACCUUACCUGGUCUUGACAUCCACGGAAGUUUUCAGAGAUGAGAAUGUGCCUUCGGGAACCGUGAGACAGGUGCUGCAUGGCUGUCGUCAGCUCGUGUUGUGAAAUGUUGGGUUAAGUCCCGCAACGAGCGCAACCCUUAUCCUUUGUUGCCAGCGGUCCGGCCGGGAACUCAAAGGAGACUGCCAGUGAUAAACUGGAGGAAGGUGGGGAUGACGUCAAGUCAUCAUGGCCCUUACGACCAGGGCUACACACGUGCUACAAUGGCGCAUACAAAGAGAAGCGACCUCGCGAGAGCAAGCGGACCUCAUAAAGUGCGUCGUAGUCCGGAUUGGAGUCUGCAACUCGACUCCAUGAAGUCGGAAUCGCUAGUAAUCGUGGAUCAGAAUGCCACGGUGAAUACGUUCCCGGGCCUUGUACACACCGCCCGUCACACCAUGGGAGUGGGUUGCAAAAGAAGUAGGUAGCUUAACCUUCGGGAGGGCGUUUACCACUUUGUGAUUCAUGACUGGGGUGAAGUCGUAACAAGGUAACCGUAGGGGAACCUGCGGUUGGAUCACCU